CAGAACCGCAGGGCCAGAUCACGCCUCCUCCUGUGGGGCCGGAUCACGUCUCCUCCUGUGGGGCCGUUCAGAACCGCAGGGCCGGAUCACGCCUCCUCCUGUGGGGCCGUUCAGAACCGCAGGGCCGGAUCACGCCUCCUCCUGUAGGUCCGUUCAGAACCGCAGGGCCGGAUCACGCCUCCUCCUGUGGGGCCGUUCAGAACCGCAGGGCCGGAUCACGCCUCCUCCUGUAGGUCCGGAUCACGCCUCCUCCUGUAGGUCCGUUCAGAACCGCAGGGCCGGAUCACGCCUCCUCCUGUAGGUCCGUCUAGAACCGCAGGGCCGGAUCACGCCUCCUCCUGUAGGUCCGUUCAGAACCGCAGGGCCGGAUCACGCCUCCUCCUGUAGGUCCGUUCAGAACCGCAGGGCCGGAUCACGCCUCCUCCUGUGGGGCCGGAUCACGCCUCCUCCUGUGGGGCCGGAUCACGGCUCCUCCUGUAGGUCCGUUCAGAACCGCAGGGCCGGAUCACGUCUCCUCCUGUAGGUCCGUCUAGAACCGCAGGGCCGGAUCACGUCUCCUCCUGUAGGUCCGUUCAGAACCGCAGGGCCGGAUCACGCCUCCUCCUGUAGGUCCGUCUAGAACCGCAGGGCCGGAUCACGCCUCCUCCUGUAGGGCCGGAUCACGCCUCCUCCUGUAGGGCCGGAUCACGCCUCCUCCUGUAGGUCCGAAUCACGCCUCCUCCUGUAGGUCCGUUCAGAACCGCAGGGCCGGAUCACGCCUCCUCCUGUAGGGCCGGAUCACGUCUCCUCCUGUAGGUCCGUUCAGAACCGCAGGGCCGGAUCACGCCUCCUCCUGUAGGGCCGGAUCACGCCUCCUCCUGUAGGUCCGUCUAGAACCGCAGGGCCGGAUCACGCCUCCUCCUGUAGGUCCGUUCAGAACCGCAGGGCCGGAUCACGCCUCCUCCUGUAGGUCCGUCUAGAACCGCAGGGCCGGAUCACGCCUCCUCCUGUAGGGCCGGAUCACGCCUCCUCCUGUAGGUCCGUUCAGAACCGCAGGGCCGGAUCACGUCUCCUCCUGUAGGUCCGUUCAGAACCGCAGGGCCGGAUCACGCCUCCUCCUGUAGGUCCGUCUAGAACCGCAGGGCCGGAUCACGCCUCCUCCUGUAGGGCCGGAUCACGUCUCCUCCUGUAGGGCCGGAUCACGCCUCCUCCUGUAGGUCCGUCUAGAACCGCAGGGCCGGAUCACGCCUCCUCCUGUAGGGCCGGAUCACGCCUCCUCCUGUAGGUCCGAAUCACGCCUCCUCCUGUAGGUCCGUUCAGAACCGCAGGGCCGGAUCACGCCUCCUCCUGUGGGGCCGGAUCACGCCUCCUCCUGUAGGUCCGAAUCACGCCUCCUCCUGUAGGUCCGUUCAGAACCGCAGGGCCGGAUCACGCCUCCUCCUGUAGGUCCGAAUCACGCCUCCUCCUGUAGGUCCGUUCAGAACCGCAGGGCCGGAUCACGCCUCCUCCUGUAGGUCCGUCUAGAACCGCAGGGCCGGAUCACGUCUCCUCCUGUAGGUCCGAAUCACGUCUCCUCCUGUAGGUCCGUUCAGAACCGCAGGGCCGGAUCACGUCUCCUCCUGUAGGUCCGUCUAGAACCGCAGGGCCGGAUCACGCCUCCUCCUGUAGGUCCGUUCAGAACCGCAGGGCCGGAUCAUGCCUCCUCCUGUAGGGCCGGAUCACGCCUCCUCCUGUAGGUCCGUUCAGAACCGCAGGGCCGGAUCACGCCUCCUCCUGUAGGUCCGUUCAGAACCGCAGGGCCGGAUCACGUCUCCUCCUGUGGGGCCGGAUCACGCCUCCUCCUGUAGGGCCGGAUCACGCCUCCUCCUGUAGGUCCGUUCAGAACCGCAGGGCCGGAUCACGUCUCCUCCUGUAGGUCCGUUCAGAACCGCAGGGCCGGAUCACGUCUCCUCCUGUAGGUCCGUAUCACGCCUCCUCCUGUAGGUCCGUUCAGAACCGCAGGGCCGGAUCACGCCUCCUCCUGUAGGUCCUGAUGUGGAUCCGGGCCUUUGGUUCUGGACGUUCGUGUGGAGUCUGGGCUUUCUGCAGCAGGGGAACCAGCGUGGGGCUGAUUUCUGCUGCUUUCUGUGAUCCAGGAAGGACACACCUGGUUGAUGCACCUGGAGACGUUAUCAGUCAAAGUUUGACUCUGCAGCACCGUUCAGCCAUGCAUACGGUGCUUUACAGGUUAAUAUAGAGACAGGAAGAUGUCGAGACCAAGGAGAUGACAUAGAAAAACGUGAAAUGGAGAAAAUAACGGCAUAAAAGAGAUAAAAACUAACAAAUGCAUAACAGCACCAUUCAAACCAGUUCUCAAAGCUGUAUAGAAAAAAUAAACCACAGAAUAAACUAAGAAAACGUCAUCUGUUGAACAGCAAGGAGUAAAAGGCCUGAACAGACGUGUUUCAGCUGCGAUUUAAAGAUUUUAGCUUCAAUUAGGGCCAAACUGUCUCAACACUGAGAGAAGACUAAACCUGGCUGCUCCUCAAACCGGUCCAUCCUUCCCUCUCCAGUCCCUGUCCAUACUCAUGAGUCACUGGCGGCUGUCCUUUAGAGCGUUUUGAACCUAAGUUGUUGAUUUGGCCUUGACUUUCUGUCUGAUUGAAAGCGGAAGUGAGGAAAAUGUGGGACUGGAGAUGUCUGGCGGGCUCACCAUGCCGAUUCAAUCGGUCUGGUGCUACCUCCAUGUUGCUCUGUUAGCUCAUUGCUAGCUGCUCUGCGUGAUGACAGAGCUGAACAGACUAGAUCACUGGAACUGUUCUGCAGGCAAUUAACAAGGGUUACUUUUUCUUAGUGUUCAGAGGGUCACAGAUAAAGAUAAUGAAGUAUUAAGGUGCUCGUUGCAUAAUGAUGAUUGAGGCUUCAUUUACAGCAAUGUGAAUUUAGAUAUUCAGAGAGGAUGGUGUGCAGCAGGCAGUAACAUUAAG
Molecule: long non-coding RNA, 2945 nt
Organism: Fundulus heteroclitus (mummichog)
Lineage: Eukaryota; Metazoa; Chordata; Actinopteri; Cyprinodontiformes; Fundulidae
Exons: 14
Source: RefSeq, a predicted model, not a curated record